CCUACGGGAGGCAGCAGUGAGGAAUAUUGGUCAAUGGGCGCGAGCCUGAACCAGCCAAGUAGCGUGAAGGAUGACUGCCCUACGGGUUGUAAACUUCUUUUAUAAAGGAAUAAAGUGAGGCACGUGUGCCUUUUUGUAUGUACUUUAUGAAUAAGGAUCGGCUAACUCCGUGCCAGCAGCCGCGGUAAUACGGAGGAUCCGAGCGUUAUCCGGAUUUAUUGGGUUUAAAGGGUGCGUAGGCGGAAGGUUAAGUCAGCGGUCAACUGUCGGUGCUCAACACCGGCCUGCCGUUGAAACUGGUAGUCUUGAGUGAGCGAGAAGUAGGCGGAAUGCGUGGUGUAGCGGUGAAAUGCAUAGAUAUCACGCAGAACUCCGAUUGCGAAGGCAGCAUACCGGCGCUCAACUGACGCUGAGGCACGAAAGCGUGGGGAUCGAACAGGAUUAGAUACCCCUGUAGUC
RNAcentral lists this ribosomal RNA (459 nucleotides) under uncultured bacterium. Its description in RNAcentral is "partial 16S ribosomal RNA". It matches the Rfam family "Bacterial small subunit ribosomal RNA", at positions 338 to 795 of the family's 1533-position model. The record is from RNAcentral.